RNAcentral lists this transfer RNA (82 nucleotides) under Echinostoma caproni. It matches the Rfam family "tRNA". Rfam says of the family: Transfer RNA (tRNA) molecules are approximately 80 nucleotides in length. Their secondary structure includes four short double-helical elements and three loops (D, anti-codon, and T loops). The record is from Rfam by way of RNAcentral. Lineage: Eukaryota; Metazoa; Platyhelminthes; Trematoda; Plagiorchiida; Echinostomatidae.
AGCCUCGUAGCUCAGCUGGUGGAGCAUGCGCGUACAAAGCGUAGGCGGUGUCCAUGCGUGGGUUCAAAUCCCACCGAGGCUA